UGGUUUCUGCUGCUGCAGAUAGUUACAUUUACUCUUCUCCUCCACCACCUUAUGUGUAUAAGUCACCACCACCACCGUCUCCUUCACUACCUCCUCCUUACGUGUACAAGUCACCACCUCCUCCGUCUCCAUCUCCUCCACCACCAUAUGAGCACAAGGCUCCAUCUUAUAAGUAUAAGUCCCCUCCACCUCCUUCACCAUCUCCCCCACCUCCCUAUGUGUACAAAUCACCACCUCCUCCAUCACCAUCACCUCCACCACCUUACAUUUACAAAUCUCCACCACCACCCUCACCUUCCCCUCCCCCACCAUACUAUUAUAAAUCUCCUCCACCACCAUCUCCCUCACCCCCACCACCAUAUUAUUACAAGUCUCCUCCACCACCUUCUCCUUCUCCUCCCCCUCCAUACUACUAUAAAUCUCCUCCACCACCCUCUCCGUCACCUCCACCUCCUUACUACUAUAAGUCUCCUCCACCUCCCUCACAUUCCCCUCCUCCACCAUACUAUUACAAGUCUCCUCCACCACCCUCUCCCUCACCCCCACCUCCAUAUUACUACAAAUCUCCUCCACCACCCUCUCCCUCACCCCCACCUCCAUAUUAUUACAAGUCUCCCCCACCACCCUCACCAUCCCCUCCCCCACCAUACUAUUAUAAGUCUCCUCCACCCCCACAUAUACACAAGGACCCACCAUACUAUUACAAGUCCCCACCACCACCUUCACCAUCUCCUCCACCACCUUACUACUAUAAAUCUCCCCCACCACCCUCACCAUCUCCUCCACCAC
This 789-nucleotide long non-coding RNA is filed under the name Cicer arietinum (chickpea). Its description in RNAcentral is "long non-coding RNA (CARI_LNC001280)". The record is from RNAcentral. Lineage: Eukaryota; Viridiplantae; Streptophyta; Magnoliopsida; Fabales; Fabaceae.